AAUGGGAGAAACUUAGAAAAAUGUACGAAAAGAAUAUAAUGGUGGCACGCUACUCUCUUCUUAGAAUUUUACGCGAAGUCACUUCUAAUUCUCUCGUAGAGGUGAGAAGUGUUGUUGGGCUUCCGUGUAAUUGUCUCGCGUUGUAGAGCUUUUCUCUGCUCUCUCUCUCAAAGAGAACAGAGGAGAGAGAGAGAGAGAGAGGGGACGGUAAUGUAGAAAGCUCGACAGUGGAAAAAGCUUAAAAGCUGGGAGAUUUUGGAUUUCCAGGAAAGCCAAGGAGGAGAUCUCCACCAUUGCUGAAGAGAUCUCUAGGAUUAUUAUGGAAUAAUAGGGUGGAUGACUUGAAAAUAUGAGCUGGUGGCUGGUGGUGAAUUGGGGAGAUUUGCAAACUUAAGGAGAAAGGUGGUCUUGGUUCACCCUUUUCUAGAGAGUUGAAAAGUGUUCUUUUAUCAGAUGAUUAUGGCAAUCCAGGAAGGAGAAGAAGACUCGUGUACUGUAAAUAAGUCAUUGCAACCAAGUCUUUAUCUGAUACUGUUGAAGAGAAGAUGGUGGAUUUUGCAUUGGUUUACAGACCAAGGAGUUGCAGUAGAGUUUGUGUUAGGCGUUGUCAUUCAUAGGUUUUUCUUGAGAAAGUGUUGAAAUAGUUUGUUGCUUAGACUAGAGCUCCUUUUAAUGGUAAUGGUUGUAUUCUCCAAGGA
Long non-coding RNA from Macadamia integrifolia, 698 nucleotides. RefSeq lists it as uncharacterized. The record is from RefSeq and is a predicted model, not a curated record. The transcript has 3 exons. Lineage: Eukaryota; Viridiplantae; Streptophyta; Magnoliopsida; Proteales; Proteaceae.